UACGAAGGGGGCUAGCGUUGCUCGGAAUCACUGGGCGUAAAGGGUGCGUAGGCGGGUCUUUGAGUUAGGGGUGAAAUCCUGGAGCUCAACUCCAGAACUGCCUUUGAUACUGAAGAUCUUGAGUUCGGGAGAGGUGAGUGGAACUGCGAGUGUAGAGGUGAAAUUCGUAGAUAUUCGCAAGAACACCAGUGGCGAAGGCGGCUCACUGGCCCGAUACUGACGCUGAGGCACGAAAGCGUGGGGAGCAAACAGG
Molecule: ribosomal RNA, 253 nt
Filed under: uncultured bacterium
Lineage: Bacteria
Description: partial 16S ribosomal RNA
Rfam family: Bacterial small subunit ribosomal RNA
Source: RNAcentral